RNAcentral lists this ribosomal RNA (21 nucleotides) under Homalia trichomanoides. RNAcentral describes it as "partial 23S ribosomal RNA". Lineage: Eukaryota; Viridiplantae; Streptophyta; Bryopsida; Hypnales; Neckeraceae. The record is from RNAcentral.
ACCCCAAGAUGAGUGCUCUCC